Melanotaenia boesemani (Boeseman's rainbowfish) is the source of this 1424-nucleotide long non-coding RNA. RefSeq lists it as uncharacterized. The record is from RefSeq and is a predicted model, not a curated record. The transcript is spliced from 2 exons. Lineage: Eukaryota; Metazoa; Chordata; Actinopteri; Atheriniformes; Melanotaeniidae.
UAUUGUGUCCAGUAUAUUUAAGUAACAUAUAAUAGGUCAAAAUAGCAGGUGCUCCUUUGUAUAUUAUACAAGUCAACAGUAACAUGAAAUCCCGGCCUGAAGCCUGCAGGAUGGCGCUGCUCUGACACCGUAAGGGUGACUUAAGCCUCUUAGAUCGCAGUUAAAGGCCUACUGUGCUAUAUUUUGACUAAUCUUAGAGAUUUACAAGAAAAUUUCUCAGUUAAACGCAAAAAAUUGCCGACCAUCGCUCUCCAGUUAUUUUAUUCCCCUUCGUUCCUGUUUUGGACCAAGUGGGCGGGGACUCGCGCUCUAGCCUUCGUACUUGUCCGAGCUACUCCGGUAUUGUCCGAUCUCCCGCACAGGCGGUGGGGCUGCUGUUUGUACUUCUUGUCCUUUUUGCAUCUUUACCUUCCAUCUGUGACAGCGCUCCCAUCAUGGUCGACGUACUGGUGUUGAUGUUUUUCGCCAUCAUGGGCCUCGUCUUCCUCUCCUACAUCAUCUACAUGCUGUGAUGAAGAGCCGUGUGGCGCAGCAGGGCAGCCAGUGCACGGGGAGAUGUGUGUCCUGGCUCUCCUGCAUCCCCCAUUUCCAUUAUGGAUACUGAGUAAAGAGCAUCGUCCAGGCUACCAUGCGUUCUUUCAGGUGGGAUGUGAAGAGCCCAGAGGAAAACAAAUGGAGAAGAGGAAGACAACCUCUUUCUCACUCAUCAUCUCCCUCCCUUCUUCAAUCAGGCCAGGAUCCUCAACCAAAUUCUCACUGCAGGAGCCACAAUUUAAUCAUCUGCAGUCAGUCUAACUGGUGUAUUUUCAAUGCUGCUUGUGUUUCUUUUUAGAAGAGCUGUGUUACCUCUGCAAAAGUCCAGUAAAUUCAAUAUUAUGGAUGCAGGAUGUUUUUUAAUUCUUGUGUAAUACAGGUGUAGAAUUUGCCUUUUUUAACAUCACUGUGAGUUUAUAAUUUGAUGUGCAAUGUAAAUUUAAUACAAUUACCAAAAUGAUUCUAUUGGGCCUUUUGCACUCAUGACACUUGAGUUUGACAUGACACUGUUGUCUCACUCCUCACCUCAGUAUUGAAAUUCAGGAAUCCCAACAUGUUCACCCCAAAUACAAUCAGCAUUGUCACCAGAUCAGAGGGUAUUAACGUCUGUGUCAGUAUGUGAAGCAUGUCAUAGCUCCAAACGUCUGCUUUGUUCCUGUUUUUGUUUCACUUAUUUGUCAGCAGAUGACCUACAUGAAGAAAGAUUGUUUAGAAAUUCAUCGCAGCUUUAACACCAAACAUCCUUUAUAUUAUUUAUUAUAUUUAAAUUAUGUUUUGUUUACAAAGGCCCUGACAAUUUGCUGAAUUAUAUUUCACAUAUAUUGAAUAAAGAUGAUUUCAGUAUACCUAGUUAUUGUGGUCAGUUGACUAUUAAAGCAAAAUUGAGAGAU